RNAcentral lists this small RNA (2628 nucleotides) under Pan troglodytes (chimpanzee). RNAcentral's name for it is "retained intron". The record is from RNAcentral. Lineage: Eukaryota; Metazoa; Chordata; Mammalia; Primates; Hominidae.
AAAGGGUCCGCUCCAGCCCCCAACCCAGGCACUGGGACUCUGGUGGCACCCUGGGUGGCAGGCAAGCCUUGAAAUCAAGUGCACGAGCCUUGGAAAGGAGGACCGGGAGAGUUAUGGCAUUUAUGAAUAAAGAAGAGAAAGAGAAUCACUCGGAUGGGAAAAGUUAACUGGAUUGUUCCCACCUGCAUGGAUCACCGGAAGCAACUUAGCCGUCUCGCCUUGCGGCCUGGAAGCCCUGGCAAUUUCCGGAGCACCGGCAAGAGACUUUUGCACAGUUUCUGCUUGGAGUCUACCGACUGUCUGUCUCAGAGGUCUGGACAGCUGCUUGUUACAUUUGGCUCACGCUAGCUUUAAAAAGGAAUGUAUGGACCUUACUGCAGAACGUCCCAAUUCUUCAGGCCAAGGUAAAUGCAAGUUGGGGUGGUAGUGAAGUUGCAAACUGCUCCUAAGAAAAAAAGUUAACAAGAUAUUGUUCCUUCCACCCCCGGCCUCCCGUUGGUUCCCCCACCCCAAGAGCCUUCCCACCAGGCUUCAGGGUGACAAACGCUUGGAUUUGGUGGGGCUGAGACUUGCUUGUGCCUUUGUUGAUGGCAGGGCACUUUUAUUGAAACUUGUUGAAAGGAGCUAGCUUCGAAGGCUCCUCCAAGACUCUACACCACAGGGGGAAGCAGGACUUUGAUUUAAGAUACUCACAUCUAUCAACCACAGGCAUUCAUUCAGUUUUCUCUUUCAUUUGGGGAAGGAAGGGAGAAAAUGAAUCAGAGGCUGAUUUUUUUUUUCUGGCCUGUUUUCCCCAAGCUCCAGGAAAUUAAGAAACAUGCCAUUAGUUUUAGCAAACAAUUUAAACAAAGUAAAACCAGAUCUCCCACCAAGGCCGAGGACCAUGAGGGGUCUGAGUGCCCCUGGCCCUGUUUGUGGACUCUGCGGGUCAUGGAGGAGCCAUGAAGUGGGAAGAGAGCUUGGGUGAUACAGGAUGGUGUGCGUGACAGUCCUCCCUGUGUCUUCUUUGCUACCAUAUUUAUCAUAGCUUAGAUGUGUGUGGCCUGGUGGCACCAAAGGUGAACAGAAAGCAUUUUUGGGGCGCCAUGGCCCAGACCUUAGCCUGAACGUUGUGGGAAGCCAGUGGGUGUCUGCAUGUGUUGGCGAGAACCAGUGGACAUCUCCUUGGAAGCCAGUCCCCAAGGUGGCUCUAGAUGGCUUACUCCUGCAUCUUGCCAAAUCCACAGGGUCCAGCUGUGUCUCCAGGGCUGCGUGGCUUAUUGAAAAAGAGAGUGUGUGGUGGAUUUCAAUAUCUAUAUUCUACAAAAAAUGUAAAAGGGGCAGGGGACGGGAACAAAGAAACCAGUGCUGGUGAUCCUGCCCCCACAGUAAGUUCUGCUUUAGUGUGGACAUGGGACAGGGGCCAGCCCCUGCUGCUCCCUGGGGGAACACAGGUCCGUGGGGGUGGCUCACCGUCAUGUAUGUGAUUUUGAUGUUUGUACAUUUGUUGUACCACAUGAACCAGUCUUGGACGGCUGUUCUGAGUAAAUGGGAUGAUGUGGGUAAAGCCCCCAAGACCAGAGCCUGGCACAGGGCCGUGCUGGAUAAUGCUGACUCAUGGUGAUGAGGGGAAGGAGGAGGCAGGAUGCCAUGGGUGAGGAGUCCAGGCUCCAGUGCUGCUGAACCACCAUCCACCAGUAUGAUCUCAGCAAGCCUCUCUCCACCUGGACCCAGAUGAUUCACCCGUUAAACAUCCCAGGCACAUUGAAGGGAGAUGAACAGUGUCCAGCAUGGUCCUCAGCUGUGAGAAGCCAUACACUCACCUUUUCCACCCUACAACUUUCCGUCAUCUGGGGUGCAGGUUUCUUUCCUCUCUUUUUCCUUAUUACAAGGUAAAAUACAGUCUUAUUACAGAAAACUAGAAACCAGAAAAGCCCAUCACACAGUCAUUCAUUCAACAAAUGCGUAUUGGGAAGGGUGGGGAUGAGCCCCUGGUGGAAAUGGGGUGAAGCCGUGGACUUUCUCUGGGUGCGAUGAAGGCUGACGGAGGGCUUUGAGCAUCCUCAAGAUUCAGAAGUCUGUUUUCAGUCAUCAGCAGCUGUACCAGGAGAGGAAGAACCUCUGAAGUGUUCUGGCUCCAAAAGCUAGUGAAAGUGCAGAUUUCCUGAGAAGGAGUGAAGCUUAGGGCCCUGCCAGGCAGUGAUGCUUUCUCAACUUUGGGGGCAGUAAAAUGUACAGACUCCGGCGAAGGAGACCAGGAAGGAGGCUGCAAAGUGUGCAUGCUCUGGGAAGGGGGCAGGGAAGGCUAGCAAAAAGCUGUUGGGGACCCAGCCAGGCUGCUUCCCUUGGAGGCCCAGCCUGAGAUGUGUUUCCCACCAUAUAUGGCAGAAAUGAUUUCAGGUGCUAUGUAGAUAAGCCACGAACUAUCACUGAAUCUUUUCUUGGUUGUAUUGUGAAAGAAAAAGUCUCUGUUGGGUGCUGGUGUAUCUUUGACACCACUUAACACUUGUCAAGCUCUCAUUUACUGAGGUAAAGCAGUCCUCAGGCUCAGAGCUUGUGACCAGGGAGUGGUAUCUAGCCAAAAUUUUAUUUCAAUGCUUUGUUUUCAUUGUCUUUAAAACAAAAGAUGGUUAUCUUCCAUUUGCCAUG